This is a long non-coding RNA of Clupea harengus (Atlantic herring), 406 nucleotides long. RefSeq lists it as uncharacterized. The record is from RefSeq and is a predicted model, not a curated record. The transcript is spliced from 2 exons. NCBI's taxonomy places the organism in Eukaryota, Metazoa, Chordata, Actinopteri, Clupeiformes, Clupeidae.
UGUGUGUUUAAGUUUUUCCUUUCACAUGGCGUAUCAUGUCGAAAUGCACGACUACAUUUAUGAGUGCACCAGUUCUUCUGGCCUUUGACCUUUGAGAAAGUGUGUGUGUGUGUGUGUGUCAUUAUGAAUGCGACUGAAGUAGGUUCUUUGGUUUCAAACGUAAUUCAGUCGUCUGCUGACAGUGCUGGUUUCUGAGGCGUGAACAUCGAGGGAGUCGGACACUUCAUAAGCCGCUCCGGAUCUGCCGCGCCGCUCCGCUCCGCUCUCUCCCACAGACUGCCAUUUGCAUUUGAAAGGGAAGAACACCUGGUGAACAUGAAUGGAAUAUUUCCACAACCUCGGCAAACUUAUGCCGAUUGAGUGCCGGCUGUUUAGUUUGCACAUGCAGACGUUCGUGGUGUUGAUG